This is a long non-coding RNA of Herpailurus yagouaroundi (jaguarundi), 228 nucleotides long. RefSeq lists it as uncharacterized. The transcript is spliced from 3 exons. Lineage: Eukaryota; Metazoa; Chordata; Mammalia; Carnivora; Felidae. The record is from RefSeq and is a predicted model, not a curated record.
AGAUGAAGAACUGACCAGGAAAUAUAAUAUGGAAAUGGAACUCAGGACUCCAAAGGAAACUCCAAGAAAAGAGAGGUGAGCAUUCUGAAAUCAUCUCAACAUUGAGGAUCAGAGGGAGACAGAUUUCCCAGAUGCUUGCCUUUUAUUUUCUAACCCUAACAUCAGACUUUACCAGGGCACUUGGAAAAGGUUGACAGAUGUUUUGGUUUGUAUUCAUAUACAAAACAU